GACGAACGCUGGCGGCGUGCUUAACACAUGCAAGUCGAACGGAAAGGCCCUGCUUUUGUGGGGUGCUCGAGUGGCGAACGGGUGAGUAACACGUGAGUAACCUGCCCUUGACUUUGGGAUAACUUCAGGAAACUGGGGCUAAUACCGGAUAGGAGCUCCUGCUGCAUGGUGGGGGUUGGAAAGUUUCGGCGGUUGGGGAUGGACUCGCGGCUUAUCAGCUUGUUGGUGGGGUAGUGGCUUACCAAGGCUUUGACGGGUAGCCGGCCUGAGAGGGUGACCGGCCACAUUGGGACUGAGAUACGGCCCAGACUCCUACGGGAGGCAGCAGUGGGGAAUAGUGCAAAAUGGGCAAGCCUGAUGCAGCAACGCCGCGUGCGGGAUGACGGCCUUCGGGUUGUAAACCGCUUUCGCCUGUGACGAAGCGUGAGUGACGGUAAUGGGUAAAGAAGCACCGGCUAACUACGUG
Molecule: ribosomal RNA, 466 nt
Filed under: uncultured bacterium
Lineage: Bacteria
Description: partial 16S ribosomal RNA
Rfam family: Bacterial small subunit ribosomal RNA
Source: RNAcentral